UGGGCGUAAGCGCGCGCAGGUGGUUUCUUAAGUCUGAUGUGAAAGCCCACGGCUCAACCGUGGAGGGUCAUUGGAAACUGGGAGACUUGAGUGCAGAAGAGGAAAGUGGAAUUCCAUGUGUAGCGGUGAAAUGCGUAGAGAUAUGGAGGAACACCAGUGGCGAAGGCGACUUUCUGGUCUGUAACUGACACUGAGGCGCGAAAGCGUGGGGAGCAAACAGGAUUAGAUACCCUGGUAGUCCACGCCGUAAACGAUGAGUGCUAAGUGUUAGAGGGUUUCCGCCCUUUAGUGCUGAAGUUAACGCAUUAAGCACUCCGCCUGGGGAGUACGGCCGCAAGGCUGAAACUCAAAGGAAUUGACGGGGGC
RNAcentral lists this ribosomal RNA (366 nucleotides) under Bacillus cereus. RNAcentral describes it as "bacterial SSU rRNA". It matches the Rfam family "Bacterial small subunit ribosomal RNA", at positions 555 to 920 of the family's 1533-position model. Lineage: Bacteria; Bacillati; Bacillota; Bacilli; Caryophanales; Bacillaceae. The record is from RNAcentral.